GACGAACGCUGGCGGCGUGCUUAACACAUGCAAGUCGAACGGAAAGGCCCCUUCGGGGGUACUCGAGUGGCGAACGGGUGAGUAACACGUGGGUGAUCUGCCUUGCACUCUGGGAUAAGCCUGGGAAACUGGGUCUAAUACCGGAUAGGACCAACUUUUGCAUGAUUGUUGGUGGAAAGCUUUUGCGGUGUGAGAUGGGCCCGCGGCCUAUCAGCUUGUUGGUGGGGUAAUGGCCUACCAAGGCGACGACGGGUAGCCGACCUGAGAGGGUGUCCGGCCACACUGGGACUGAGAUACGGCCCAGACUCCUACGGGAGGCAGCAGUGGGGAAUAUUGCACAAUGGGCGCAAGCCUGACGCAGCGACGCCGCGUGGAGGAUGACGGUUUUCGGAUUGUAAACUCCUGUUAAGCGGGAAGAAAGCCUUGUUUCUAAUACAAGCAAGGUAUGACGGUACCGCUAGAGAAAGCACCGGCUAACUUCGUG
Molecule: ribosomal RNA, 484 nt
Filed under: uncultured bacterium
Lineage: Bacteria
Description: bacterial SSU rRNA
Rfam family: Bacterial small subunit ribosomal RNA
Source: RNAcentral